UAAGCGGAGGAAAAGAAACUAACAAGGAUUCCCCUAGUAACUGCGAGUGAAGCGGGAAAAGCUCAAAUUUAAAAUCUGGCGGUCUUAGGCCGUCCGAGUUGUAAUUUAGAGAAGCGUCUUCCGCGCCGGACCGUGCACAAGUCUCCUGGAAUGGAGCGUCAUAGAGGAUGAGAAUCCCGUCUUUGGCACGGAUGCCUGGUGCUUCUGUGAUGCGCUCUCGAAGAGUCGAGUUGUUUGGGAAUGCAGCUCAAAAUGGGUGGUGAACUCCAUCUAAAGCUAAAUAUUGGCGAGAGACCGAUAGCGAACAAGUACCGUGAGGGAAAGAUGAAAAGCACUUUGGAAAGAGAGUGAAACAGUACGUGAAAUUGUUGAAAGGGAAACGCUUGAAGUCAGUCGCGUCGACCGAGACUCAGCCUUGCCUCGGCUUGGUGUACUUCUCGGCCCGACGGGUCAGCGUCAAUUUUGCCCCUCGGAUAAUGGCAAGGGAAAGGUGGCACCUUUACGGGUGUGUUAUAGUCUCCUGUCGCAUGCGAGGGGUGGGAUUGAGGAACUCAGCGCGCACCUUGGUGUCGGGGCUUCGGCCCACGUCACGCGCUUAGGAUGCUGGCGUAAUGGCUUUAAACGACC
This 627-nucleotide ribosomal RNA is filed under the name uncultured Russulaceae. Its description in RNAcentral is "LSU rRNA". It matches the Rfam family "Eukaryotic large subunit ribosomal RNA", at positions 47 to 649 of the family's 3401-position model. Lineage: Eukaryota; Fungi; Basidiomycota; Agaricomycetes; Russulales; Russulaceae. The record is from RNAcentral.